Long non-coding RNA from Lotus japonicus, 890 nucleotides. RefSeq lists it as uncharacterized. The transcript is spliced from 2 exons. The record is from RefSeq and is a predicted model, not a curated record. NCBI's taxonomy places the organism in Eukaryota, Viridiplantae, Streptophyta, Magnoliopsida, Fabales, Fabaceae.
AAAACCUUUAUGUAUUCUUUUAUUUUUUAACGUGAUAAAUAAAUCACUCCCCUAUUCAUUUGGUUUCUCUCUCCAACGCUUACAAUAAUUCACUCACGCAGCAUUAAACGUAUCUCGAUUCCCAUCAUCAUCCCUUUCCCCAAUUCAAUUUUCCCUAACCUAAAUCAAUCAAGCGUGAUUCUUCUCCACCAUCUCCCUAGAACUGGCGAUCCAAAUCCUUGGUUUUAUUCGAUUGCAGCGCUCCUCACCCUUACCCGAGGUCGCCAUUUAUUUGAUUGGAGUCGUCCCUCACCCUUACCCAAGGCCCCCUAAUAAAGUUACUGCUAUUUGAACGUCUGAUUUUGAUACAGACAGUUUCUUUUCUAAGUGAAAUCAUGUCCAUGACGAGUAGUAUUGAUGGAUUUUUGAAGAGGUUUGACUCUUGAAGCUAGAGAUAUUCCUGUUAGUCUCCUUUCUAUGAAUCUGCUUUGAUUUUUGAAGAGGUUUGACUCUUGAGGAUGAUUUUCAAUGUAUCAUGCUGUAUUCUUCCUGGAACCAAUACAUGUAUUUCUUAUUUUGUGGAUGUUUAAUUGAAUUGGUGUUUCAUCACUUUUUUUCAGCAACAAUGCCAAUAAUGUAUGUUUAUAAUGAGAGAUGCAGUCUAGAUAUACACUACAGGGAAUGCGAAAUGAGAGAUGCAGAUGACACAACAACAUGCACUUCAAGCAUGAGCCCCAACGUUUUGUUUUCCCCUUUAAGUUCUUAUAGUUACUUUUAUAUGAAAUUGUAUUUGUGUUAAAAUGUAGAUACCUAUCUUUUAUACGAUUGGUUCUACAGGUUCAUACGGGGUGAAAUAUUAAAAUGUAGAUUCAUAUCUUUUAUACUUUUAUAUGAUUGGUUCUACAGGUUCA